UGGGGAAUAUUGCACAAUGGAGGGAACUCUGAUGCAGCGACGCCGCGUGAACGAAGAAGGCUUUCGAGUCGUAAAGUUCUUUUAUAUGGGAAGAUAAUGACGGUACCAUAAGAAAAAGCCCCGGCUAACUACGUGCCAGCAGCCGCGGUAAUACGUAGGGGGCUAGCGUUGUCCGGAAUCACUGGGCGUAAAGGGUUCGCAGGCGGAAAUGCAAGUCAGGUGUAAAAGGCAGUAGCUUAACUACUGUAAGCAUUUGAAACUGCAUAUCUUGAGAAGAGUAGAGGUAAGUGGAAUUUUUAGUGUAGCGGUGAAAUGCGUAGAUAUUAAAAAGAAUACCGGUGGCGAAGGCGACUUACUGGGCUCAUUCUGACGCUGAGGCUCGAAAGCGUGGGGAGCGAACAGG
RNAcentral lists this ribosomal RNA (403 nucleotides) under Bacteroidota bacterium. RNAcentral's name for it is "Bacteroidetes bacterium partial 16S ribosomal RNA". It matches the Rfam family "Bacterial small subunit ribosomal RNA", at positions 355 to 776 of the family's 1533-position model. Lineage: Bacteria; Pseudomonadati; Bacteroidota. RNAcentral also lists the same sequence under 1 other name. The record is from RNAcentral.